CCUUAGUAACGGCGAGUGAACAGGCAAGAGCUCAGAUUUGAAAGCCUUUUUGGCAUUGUAUUCUGAAGUAUUUAUCCUGAGUAAUGAUGUCUAAGUCUUCUGGAAAGGAGCGCCAUGGAGGGUGAUAGCCCCGUGUGACAUCCCACUCAUUGUAGGAUUUAUACGUGGAGUCGAGUUGUUUGGGAAUGCAGCUCAAACGGGUGGUAUGCUCCAUCUAAAGCUAAAUAUCUGUGAGAGACCGAUAGCGAACAAGUACUGUGAAGGAAAGAUGAAAAGAACUUUGAAAAGAGAGUGAAAAAGUACGUGAAAUUGUUGAAAUGGAAGGGUAGGCCGCUAACCAUGUAGAACCGUGUUUGGGGGGAAGAUAAAAGCUGAAGAAUGUGGCUCCUCGGAGUGUUAUAGCUUCAGUCAAUAUUCCCAUCCGAGCGCGAGG
RNAcentral lists this ribosomal RNA (433 nucleotides) under Starmerella cf. meliponinorum MS-2010. Its description in RNAcentral is "eukaryotic LSU rRNA". It matches the Rfam family "Eukaryotic large subunit ribosomal RNA", at positions 78 to 538 of the family's 3401-position model. Lineage: Eukaryota; Fungi; Ascomycota; Dipodascomycetes; Dipodascales; Trichomonascaceae. The record is from RNAcentral.